UGGGUAAUCUUGUGAAACUUCAUCGUGAUGGGGAUAGAGCAUUGCAAUUAUUGUUCUUCAACGAGGAAUCCCUAGUAAGCAUGAGUCAUCAGCUCGUGCUGAUUACGUCCCUGCCCUUUGUACACACCGCCCGUCGCUACUACCGAUUGAAUGGCUUAGUGAGACCCUCGGAUCGAUAAGUGGAAACCUUCACGGGUAUCUACUUGUUGAGAAGUUGGUCAAACUUGGUCAUUUAGAGGAAGUAAAAGUCGUAACAAGGUAGCCGUAGGUGAACCUGCGGAAGGAUCAUU
This 290-nucleotide ribosomal RNA is filed under the name Gigaspora rosea. RNAcentral describes it as "partial 18S ribosomal RNA". It matches the Rfam family "Eukaryotic small subunit ribosomal RNA", at positions 1543 to 1830 of the family's 1831-position model. The record is from RNAcentral. Lineage: Eukaryota; Fungi; Glomeromycota; Glomeromycetes; Diversisporales; Gigasporaceae.